Molecule: ribosomal RNA, 939 nt
Filed under: Salmonella enterica subsp. enterica serovar Typhimurium str. CDC_2009K1158
Lineage: Bacteria; Pseudomonadati; Pseudomonadota; Gammaproteobacteria; Enterobacterales; Enterobacteriaceae
Description: bacterial SSU rRNA
Rfam family: Bacterial small subunit ribosomal RNA
Source: RNAcentral
GUGAAAUCCCCGGGCUCAACCUGGGAACUGCAUUCGAAACUGGCAGGCUUGAGUCUUGUAGAGGGGGGUAGAAUUCCAGGUGUAGCGGUGAAAUGCGUAGAGAUCUGGAGGAAUACCGGUGGCGAAGGCGGCCCCCUGGACAAAGACUGACGCUCAGGUGCGAAAGCGUGGGGAGCAAACAGGAUUAGAUACCCUGGUAGUCCACGCCGUAAACGAUGUCUACUUGGAGGUUGUGCCCUUGAGGCGUGGCUUCCGGAGCUAACGCGUUAAGUAGACCGCCUGGGGAGUACGGCCGCAAGGUUAAAACUCAAAUGAAUUGACGGGGGCCCGCACAAGCGGUGGAGCAUGUGGUUUAAUUCGAUGCAACGCGAAGAACCUUACCUGGUCUUGACAUCCACAGAACUUUCCAGAGAUGGAUUGGUGCCUUCGGGAACUGUGAGACAGGUGCUGCAUGGCUGUCGUCAGCUCGUGUUGUGAAAUGUUGGGUUAAGUCCCGCAACGAGCGCAACCCUUAUCCUUUGUUGCCAGCGGUUAGGCCGGGAACUCAAAGGAGACUGCCAGUGAUAAACUGGAGGAAGGUGGGGAUGACGUCAAGUCAUCAUGGCCCUUACGACCAGGGCUACACACGUGCUACAAUGGCGCAUACAAAGAGAAGCGACCUCGCGAGAGCAAGCGGACCUCAUAAAGUGCGUCGUAGUCCGGAUUGGAGUCUGCAACUCGACUCCAUGAAGUCGGAAUCGCUAGUAAUCGUGGAUCAGAAUGCCACGGUGAAUACGUUCCCGGGCCUUGUACACACCGCCCGUCACACCAUGGGAGUGGGUUGCAAAAGAAGUAGGUAGCUUAACCUUCGGGAGGGCGCUUACCACUUUGUGAUUCAUGACUGGGGUGAAGUCGUAACAAGGUAACCGUAGGGGAACCUGCGGUUGGAUCACCUCCUUA